Molecule: ribosomal RNA, 253 nt
Filed under: uncultured bacterium
Lineage: Bacteria
Description: partial 16S ribosomal RNA
Rfam family: Bacterial small subunit ribosomal RNA
Source: RNAcentral
UACAUGGGGCUCGAGCGUUAGUCGGAAUCACUGGGCUUAAAGGGUGCGUAGGCGGCUCGCCAAGUGCUUUGUGAAAUCCCGCAGCUCAACUGUGGAACGGCAGGGCAAAGUGGCGAGCUUGAAGCAGGUAGGGGCUGGAAGAACAGUUGGUGGAGCGGUGAAAUGCGUAGAUAUCAACUGGAAUGCCGAUGGGGAAGCCGGCCAGCUGGGCCUGUCUUGACGCUGAGGCACGAAAGCGUGGGGAGCAAACAGG